Molecule: ribosomal RNA, 362 nt
Filed under: uncultured bacterium
Lineage: Bacteria
Description: bacterial SSU rRNA
Rfam family: Bacterial small subunit ribosomal RNA
Source: RNAcentral
AACGAACGCUGGCGGCAUGCCUAACACAUGCAAGUCGAACGAGACCUUCGGGUCUAGUGGCGCACGGGUGCGUAACGCGUGGGAACCUGCCUUUAGGUUCGGAAUAACUCAGAGAAAUUUGAGCUAAUACCGGAUAAUGUCUUCGGACCAAAGAUUUAUCGCCUUUAGAUGGGCCCGCGUUGGAUUAGCUAGUUGGUGGGGUAAAGGCCUACCAAGGCGACGAUCCAUAGCUGGUCUGAGAGGAUGAUCAGCCACACUGGGACUGAGACACGGCCCAGACUCCUACGGAGGCAGCAGUGGGGAAUAUUGGACAAUAGGGCGAAAGCCUGAUCCAGCAAUGCCGCGUGCAGGAUGAAGGCCUU